Molecule: long non-coding RNA, 767 nt
Organism: Pecten maximus
Lineage: Eukaryota; Metazoa; Mollusca; Bivalvia; Pectinida; Pectinidae
Exons: 2
Source: RefSeq, a predicted model, not a curated record
AUCUACGCGAUGUGAGUUAUUGUAAAAUGUACCAUUUUCUUAGGCAGGGGGAUAUUGUCACAAUCGCUUGUAUUUGUAUAUUUGUCAUAUGUGUCUGUAUAUAUUGUGACGUGUUGUUACUAUCUGUAUGGCGUAACGGAUGUUCCGUAGAGGGUGAGUGAGCGCGCACGAGCAGGAGCCAUGACAGUGUUCUAACAGGCCGUGUCGACGCAUUUGAGAUAUUUUAACAUUAUACGGGCACAGAAACCUUACAGUCUGUGCAAUAAUGUGGACUGGAGAGAGCUCGAGGUGAAGCCGGAUGGUCAAAACCGCCUGAGUCAUAUUACAGGACCAGAUGCUGCCAUACUGGACUUCAGUAAAUAAAAGCCCUAUGUUGAGGACAAGGCACCGUUUGCCGAAUCAUGGAGACCCAGAUAAACCUGACGGCGGGUUCUCAUUUGUCAGUGAUUGACAAUAUAUCUACAUUCAUCAUUCAUUCGAUGAUAUCAGCCGUCCGUGUAGGAGGCUGUGCAGACAGACAAAGUGUUAUUUAGUCUGUGAUUUUUCUUAUAGGAUAUUGCCACACGUGGGUAAACAUCAGACCAACAGACUGAUGUCCUAUAUAUAUGCAGCUGAUCUCCACCUAGUGGUUUCUGGAGCAUAGGAGACAUGUGCAGAGACAUUGUUAAGUGUGUGUAAGAUGUGAGAGUGUGACAUGAACAUUUGUAGUUAUCUUGCUGUAUUUUGUGUUGUGUUGUGUAUAUAAGUAUAUAAAUUUACUAUUGUUG